Molecule: long non-coding RNA, 180 nt
Organism: Polypterus senegalus (gray bichir)
Lineage: Eukaryota; Metazoa; Chordata; Cladistia; Polypteriformes; Polypteridae
Exons: 2
Source: RefSeq, a predicted model, not a curated record
UAGGUAGGGAAACUUUGUUGGUCUGAUUACUUUCUUGAAGGAUAUGGACAUAGCAGUCUUUUGAAGAUUUAGAAGCGGGAACUAAGAAAUUUAUCUUUUGGCGGGUUCUGCUGAGCGCAUCCCAGCUGGCCUUGCUUUGUUCCGAAGGAGGAGGAAUGGCUGUCGUUGGAAAAAAAAAAA